RNAcentral lists this ribosomal RNA (588 nucleotides) under uncultured bacterium. Its description in RNAcentral is "partial 16S ribosomal RNA". It matches the Rfam family "Bacterial small subunit ribosomal RNA", at positions 355 to 941 of the family's 1533-position model. The record is from RNAcentral.
UGGGGAAUAUUGGACAAUGGGGGAACCCUGAUCCAGCCAUGCCGCGUGUGUGAAGAAGGCCUUAUGGUUGUAAAGCACUUUAAGCGAGGAGGAGGCUACUGAGACUAAUACUCUUGGGUAGUGGACGUUACUCGCAGAAUAAGCACCGGCUAACUCUGUGCCAGCAGCCGCGGUAAUACAGAGGGUGCGAGCGUUAAUCGGAUUUACUGGGCGUAAAGCGUGCGUAGGCGGCUUUUUAAGUCGGAUGUGAAAUCCCCGAGCUUAACUUGGGAAUUGCAUUCGAUACUGGGAAGCUAGAGUAUGGGAGAGGAUGGUAGAAUUCCAGGUGUAGCGGUGAAAUGCGUAGAGAUCUGGAGGAAUACCGAUGGCGAAGGCAGCCAUCUGGCCUAAUACUGACGCUGAGGUACGAAAGCAUGGGGAGCAAACAGGAUUAGAUACCCUGGUAGUCCAUGCCGUAAACGAUGUCUACUAGCCGUUGGGGCCUUUGAGGCUUUAGUGGCGCAGCUAACGCGAUAAGUAGACCGCCUGGGGAGUACGGUCGCAAGACUAAAACUUAAAUGAAUUGACGGGGGUCAUAGCUGUUUCCUG